UUAGAUGACGUAUAUUUUUCUUCUCCGUAUUGGUGCCUUACAAUCCACAUUUAAUGUUGAGAGAUCUAUUUUGAUGUUGUGGCAUGCAUGAAGUGCCUGUGGUCGAUGACAGAGAUCUUCUUUUGACCUUUCAUCCAAUUUCUCUAGUUGAGUAUGAAUGUAAUUGUUUUUGGCAGGUUACUCUGGUAAAAAUGGUGAAUGAAGCUACAGCUAACAUUCCGAACUGGGGUUCUUAGAACUGUGUUGUGAUUGAAGCUAUUCCACUCACGCAAGAUGUAUGAUGGGUUUGUAGUUUGUAGUUUCUAUACCCAUGUUGCACACGAGAAAAUCGUGUUCCCUCCCAAUGAUCAUUGUUAGAAUAUUUGAAACUUUCUUGUAUGCAGUUCCAUCUGUCCUUUAUCCUAUAUGUUCCAAACCUCUGUGUAUAGUUGCAAAUCUAUUCAUAUGCAGUAGGCUGCCAUGUUGAAACUAUUAGUUUACUAGUUGCAGCUCUUCCCAUUGUUAGCGACAAUGAUGGGGGAUCUCAAGUUUUUCGUUAUUUGUUGCUUUCAGAUAGACAAUAUGUUCUGCAUAGAGCAACAAUCUGGAUAACUUCAAGGUUUUGCUUGUGUUAUCAAUUUACAAGGCUGCAGUUAAAGUGAGCUACAAACAUCCUCUGUACUAGUUAGAAUUCAAUUCACUAUCAUGUUUGAGUGGUGAAAAUCAAUUGAAGAGUCCCAUAUACCAAUCCUUGUGGUUUGACCUCGACCUCAUAAGUUGGAUAUUUAUUUUACAUAUGAUCGCCUGUGUCCUGAAAUAUGGGACAUAGCCGAGAGUUUAUCACGCUCUCUACUGUAGUAGAACGAUGGAGUGCUCCUCAUGAUGAUCUGCGCCGUCUUGGGAACUAUUGGCGAAUUAUCCUUCUACCGGAUUUUUGUUAUUGUUCCUGAUUUUCAUAAGUGUUUUUGAAAAAUAAAUAUAUCUAAGGAAGUGGAUAAGUAGAGCAAUGAGUUAAACCAAUAUCACAACUGUCCUAGCCUCCACAGAGAGCAUCAAAUUGUUUAUUAGGAUAUUGUUACAAUUAAAUUUGUCACGAGGUUAAAAACACAUGGAUCAACUUCACUAGUAAAUUAGAUAUUAAGCAAAUAGAUGUGUUAUUAAAUAAUUUUGUAAAGAACAAUAUUGUAAUUUAAUAAAUAAAAGUAAUGGUAAUCUUCAGAUUUCGUUGCUUCAACUUCAAUCCCAAAUAUAACUUCAAAGGUAUUAAUUAGCUCCCAAAUCAAAGGUAUUGAUGUGUGUAUUCUUAAGAGUAUUGCCUUAAUCAAUAAUGUAAUGAAAGAGAAAAUUUAGAGUGUAGGAAUCUAGGUAUAUUGCUAAGCAUUGUAAAAAAAAAAACCAACCAAUUUUUAUAGGCAAUAAAUGGAAUUCAUCCAUCAAUGAAAUCACUCCUCUUGGACCAUAUGUAUAUACUACAUAAUCCAAUGAAAAUGGUCCAUUUAGAGCUACUGUUACGUGCUCCAACGAGUAAAUUUGUCGUGAUUCACGAAAUUUAGUAUGGACCUAGCUAACAUUCCUGUCCUUUCUUUCCUUUAAUACGUCUUUUGGCCACAUGUCCUUUAUGUCAUCUUUCACGAGUUUUCACCGUUAUCUACUAUAAACCUUUGGAUAUAUAUAGUGAUUUCAAUUACUUUUUUGGUGAUUUCUUGAAGGAAGUUUUUUUUUAUAUAUAACUAGUAAAAUUACCCGCGCUUUGCGCUUGAUUUUAGUAUCACGAAAUUUAUAAAAUAAUACUGAAAACUUAUCAGGCAUUAAAACUAAAACACUAUAUUAUCUUACAUACAAGAUUACGUAGUAACAAACAUUAAUAAUGUAAAUGAAAAUGAAAAUUAUUACAUCUUAUCAUUUAUCCUUAAUACCAUAAGCAUAAAUUAAUAAUUGUAAAAAUACAUACCAAGUUUUGUAAUGUAAGCAAUGGUGUCAGUGAGCCUCUCAACAGGAGCAAAGUACACAAAUAUUUAAUUGUGAAGAAGAAGAAGAAGAAGAAGAGGAGAUUAAUAAUGUAAAGGAAAAUGAAAAUUAUUACAUCUUAUCAUUUAUCCUUAAUACCAUAAGCAUAAAUUAAUAAUUGUAAAAAUACAUACCAAGUUUUGUAAUGUAAGCAAUGGUGUCAGUGAGCCUCUCAACAGGAGCAAAGUACACAAAUAUUUAAUUGUGAAGAAGAAGAAGAAGAAGAAGAGGAGGAGGUUCAGAAUUUUCGUUGUUUUAAAAUGAGAGGAAAUCCCUGUUCAUUACACUCUGUCAGAUACUUCAAUAUCAGUUUGAAUUAUUCCAAAACAAAUUCUAACUUAAUGAACUAGCUCCACAAAUAUCAACUUUCCCUUAUAGAUUCACCUAAUCUAUUUUUUUCCUUUUUCUUUUAUGUGUCUAAGUAAAACAAUUGAUCUAGUUGAUAGCUUAUAUAUUGGUUAAUGGUAACUGUGUACAAUUAAGUAACUUGCCCUUAAAUGGAAGUGAGCUUAUUUCGAUAGAACUUUUAACAGCAAAUUAUAGUGGGUGGGACGAAAAAGUAUUUGACCUGAAACAAGGCUUAUUUAAAGCAAACAAUAAUUAGUACAUAUUUUAUUUUUGAAAUAUACUUCAUCUCUGUGUGUUCCGAGUGCCAAUGUCCCUAAUAAUUUUCUUUUGAUCUAUAAAUGAGCUUAGAUGACGUAUAUUUUUCUUCUCCAUAAAGGUGCCUAUUAAAUGUUGAGAGAUCUAUUUUGAUGUUGUGGCAUGCAUGAUGGUCAAUGACAGAGAUCUUAUUUUGACCUUUCAUCCAAUUUCUCUAGUUGAGUAUGUAUGUAUUUGUUUUUGGCAGGUUACUCUGGUAAAAAUGGUGAAUGAAG
This 2864-nucleotide long non-coding RNA is filed under the name Solanum tuberosum (potato). RNAcentral describes it as "long non-coding RNA (STUB_LNC008097)". Lineage: Eukaryota; Viridiplantae; Streptophyta; Magnoliopsida; Solanales; Solanaceae. The record is from RNAcentral.